ACGCUUUCCGCAGCGAACAGUUGAGUUACGUAGUCGCUGCGGGAUCGAUCCAUUGCUUCCGUGCUGCCGGGCUCGUUGGUGAAAAUCUUUGGCUUUUAAAAUUCAAUUGUUUCCUGCAACACAGAAUGGAUACUGCAAGAAAUUUAAAACUUUCUUUACGUAGCAAUGCAUUAAAAACAUUACAUUGAAGAAAUCAGUGCAAGAAACAGUUAAGUGAUCGAUGCUGGAAGCGCCAGUGAAUUGUUCUGUGAUCAGUUAUUCUCUUCAAAUCUAUUUCAAACUCAAAUUAGUACGUCUUCCAAAGUGAGCAACGUUUGGUGUUCAUCUCUGUUCAAUUGUAAACUUAUCAAGAGUGGAGGGAAGAUCAAACUAUUCAGCGGUAGCAAUAAGAAGUAGACUGUUCGGAAAAGGGCCUACCUCGAGGACGGCCAGCUAUCAGCCACUGCAUCUCUAAGUCUUCCGUUAAUCAGUAUGGCUGAGCCCGGUGGCUGCUAUGGCCGUGUCUCCGGCGCCGCCGCCGGGCCGCGCCGGCGCGCAGAGCCCGCCGCAUCCGCAGCCGCAGCCUCCGCCCCAGCGCCGGUGGCCGG
Molecule: long non-coding RNA, 587 nt
Organism: Schistocerca serialis cubense
Lineage: Eukaryota; Metazoa; Arthropoda; Insecta; Orthoptera; Acrididae
Exons: 3
Source: RefSeq, a predicted model, not a curated record